Molecule: ribosomal RNA, 291 nt
Filed under: uncultured bacterium
Lineage: Bacteria
Description: partial 16S ribosomal RNA
Rfam family: Bacterial small subunit ribosomal RNA
Source: RNAcentral
GGAUUAGAUACCCUGGUAGUCCACGCCGUAAACGAUGACAACUAGCUGUUGGGAAGCUAUGCUUUUCAGUGGCGCAGCUAACGUUUUAAGUUGUCCGCCUGGGGAGUACGGCCGCAAGGUUAAAACUCAAAUGAAUUGACGGGGACCCGCACAAGUAGUGGAGCAUGUGGUUUAAUUCGAUGCAACGCGAAAAACCUUACCUACUCUUGACAUACUUGGAAGCUCUUGUAAUGAGAGUGUGCUUUUAGAGCCAAGAUACAGGUGCUGCAUGGCUGUCGUCAGCUCGUGCUG